UAGAGGAAGUAAAAGUCGUAACAAGGUUUCCGUAGGUGAACCUGCGGAAGGAUCAUUAUUGAAUUACUUUGAAGCAAGUUGUAGCUGGCUCUUAGGAGUAUGUGCACACUUGUUCUCAUUUUAACCACCUGUGCACUCAUUGUAGACUUGUGAUACCUUUCAAGCAAUUGCUUGGUUUUUGAAGGUUGCUGGACUUUUUUUCAAAGAGAGACAGCUCCCUUUACAUUUCACAGUCUAUGUUUUCAUAUACCCUUAAUUUGUAUGUCUUUGAAUGUAAUUUUAUAGGCUUUCAUUGCCUUUUAAAACUUAUACAACUUUCAACAACGGAUCUCUUGGCUCUCGCAUCGAUGAAGAACGCAGCGAAAUGCGAUAAGUAAUGUGAAUUGCAGAAUUCAGUGAAUCAUCGAAUCUUUGAACGCACCUUGCGCUCCUUGGUAUUCCGAGGAGCAUGCCUGUUUGAGUGUCAUUAAAUUCUCAACCUUUCCAGCUUUUGUUUACAAAACUGGUCAGGCUUGGAUAUGGGGGUUGCAGGCUUCAAUAAGAAGUCAGCUCUCCUUAAAUAUAUUAGCAGAACCUUUGCGGACUGUCUUUUGGUGUGAUAAUUAUCUACGCCAUCUGUCAUGAAGCAGAUUUUAAUGGGGUUCAGCUUCUAAUCGUCUAUUGACUUGGACAAUUUUAUUGACUAUUUGACCUCAAAUCAGGUAGGACUACCCGCUGAACUUAAGCAUAUCAAUAAGCGGAGGA
RNAcentral lists this ribosomal RNA (744 nucleotides) under Omphalina chionophila. RNAcentral's name for it is "eukaryotic LSU rRNA". The stretch from base 313 to 466 matches the Rfam family "5.8S ribosomal RNA". Lineage: Eukaryota; Fungi; Basidiomycota; Agaricomycetes; Agaricales; Omphalinaceae. The record is from RNAcentral.